This 383-nucleotide ribosomal RNA is filed under the name uncultured bacterium. RNAcentral describes it as "bacterial SSU rRNA". It matches the Rfam family "Bacterial small subunit ribosomal RNA", at positions 29 to 416 of the family's 1533-position model. The record is from RNAcentral.
AUUGAACGCUGGCGGCAUGCUUUACACAUGCAAGUCGAACGGCAGCGCGGGGCAACCUGGCGGCGAGUGGCGAACGGGUGAGUAAUAUAUCGGAACGUACCCAAGAGUGGGGGAUAACGUAGCGAAAGUUACGCUAAUACCGCAUACGAUCUCAGGAUGAAAGCAGGGGACCGCAAGGCCUUGUGCUCCUGGAGCGGCCGAUAUCUGAUUAGCUAGUUGGGAGGUAAAGGCUCACCAAGGCGACGAUCAGUAGCUGGUCUGAGAGGACGACCAGCCACACUGGAACUGAGACACGGUCCAGACUCCUACGGGAGGCAGCAGUGGGGAAUUUUGGACAAUGGGCGAAAGCCUGAUCCAGCAAUGCCGCGUGAGUGAAGAAGGCC